AGAUGAUAACCAUUUGUACCGAAGACAGCAGGUGUGGCUUGCCACUUAAUGCUCCUGCCGAGGACAAGACGCUCUUUUUUUAAAGAUGACGACUUUUCUGCCCUCAUGUCUUAGACAUUGAGGGCUUUUUAUAUCGGUAU
Molecule: non-coding RNA, 140 nt
Organism: Sporosarcina sp. P33
Lineage: Bacteria; Bacillati; Bacillota; Bacilli; Caryophanales; Caryophanaceae
Source: Rfam